Molecule: ribosomal RNA, 292 nt
Filed under: uncultured bacterium
Lineage: Bacteria
Description: partial 16S ribosomal RNA
Rfam family: Bacterial small subunit ribosomal RNA
Source: RNAcentral
GUGACAGCCGCCGCGGUAAUACGUAGGUGACGAGCGUUAUCCGGAAUUACUGGGCGUAAAGCGCACGCAGGCGGCGCCUUAAGUCUGGCGUGAAAUCUCUCGGCUUAACCGGGAGGGGUCGUUGGAGACUGAGGUGCUUGAGGUGAUGAGAGGGGUGUAGAAUUCCCGGUGUAGUGGUGGAAUGCGUAGAUAUCGGGAGGAAUACCAGUGGCGGAAGCGACACCCUGGCGUUAGCCUGACGCUCAUGUGCGAAAGCGUGGGGAGCGAACGGGAUUAGAUACCCGUGUAGUCC